GCCUGGUUAGCUCAAUCGGUAGAGCGUUUGACUCUUAAAAUUAAAAGGCUGCGGGUUCGAGCCCCGCAUCGGGCU
RNAcentral lists this transfer RNA (75 nucleotides) under Pichia kudriavzevii. RNAcentral's name for it is "tRNA-Lys". It matches the Rfam family "tRNA". From Rfam's summary of the family: Transfer RNA (tRNA) molecules are approximately 80 nucleotides in length. Their secondary structure includes four short double-helical elements and three loops (D, anti-codon, and T loops). The record is from RNAcentral. Lineage: Eukaryota; Fungi; Ascomycota; Pichiomycetes; Pichiales; Pichiaceae.